AUAAAAACUUUGACGGAGAAAAGUAAGCAAUUAACCGCCUUUUCAGAGAGCGCAGCAUGAGCUGAAAGCUGCGUAUCGGCGGCCUGCCGAAAUGCACUCCUGAGUUGUUCGGAGGAAAUAAGUAUUCCGAAUCGGUUGCCCCGUUACAGGCAAAGCCGUGCUUGAGCGGCCGAGUAUAAAAUAGAGUGGAACCGCAGUUUUUAAUUGCCUCUGUC
This 215-nucleotide non-coding RNA is filed under the name Anaerotruncus sp. RNAcentral's name for it is "T-box sequence". It matches the Rfam family "T-box leader". Rfam says of the family: Uncharged tRNA acts as the effector for transcription antitermination of genes in the T-box leader family. T-boxes are found upstream of many aminoacyl-tRNA synthetase genes and some amino acid biosynthetic genes usually in Gram-positive bacteria. The anticodon of a specific tRNA base pairs to a specifier sequence within the T-box motif, and the NCCA acceptor tail of the tRNA base pairs to a conserved bulge in the T-box antiterminator hairpin. The record is from RNAcentral. Lineage: Bacteria; Bacillati; Bacillota; Clostridia; Eubacteriales; Oscillospiraceae.